This 75-nucleotide transfer RNA is filed under the name Candidatus Caldarchaeum sp. Its description in RNAcentral is "tRNA-Lys". It matches the Rfam family "tRNA". Rfam says of the family: Transfer RNA (tRNA) molecules are approximately 80 nucleotides in length. Their secondary structure includes four short double-helical elements and three loops (D, anti-codon, and T loops). Lineage: Archaea; Thermoproteati; Nitrososphaerota; Candidatus Caldarchaeales; Candidatus Caldarchaeaceae. The record is from RNAcentral.
GGGCCCAUAGCUCAGCCAGGUCAGAGCGGCCGGCUCUUAACCGGCAGGUCGCGGGAUCAAAGCCCGCUGGGCCCG